AUUAGUGUGCGUCUCAUCUCCAUGGACCAGAAAAACUCAUCACAGGGGAUAUAAGAAAGGAAAGCAGGUUAAUUCGAUGAACAGUGAAGGUGGGAUGGGGACAGAAUUCAGCUGUAGAACUCACAGAAUUUGGGGUACCAGCUGCUGAGGUCUUACGCUUUUGCACAUGCUUCAAGGCCCUGUGCCCUCAAUGGUUGGAGCUGUACUGCCAGGGUUUCCUUGGCCACUGCUGUACUUGGAAUCUAUUUCCCUCAAGGGCGCACAGUAGGGAUUCUGCAUCAGGCUGGAUUAAUCUUCUGGUGGUUUUCACACAGGGUUGGUGGAGUAAUUAUGGGCAUUGCUAUCCCCAUCCACCAACCAGCCUCCCAAGGGAUGAGGUUGUCCAUGCACAGGUUCUCCACAGGGUGUGGAGAGGACUGAUGCUCUCUCUGGAAAUGGCAAGAUCUGUUAGUGGAGGGUUUUGAAGUGGCCCAGUGACCGAAAAUGAGUUGUAACAUUAAGUAUGCAUUAUAGUAGUAUGGGCCAUAGAUAUAAAAGUGAAAUCCACAACAGGGGAAAGAGAGAUACAUUAUUGAUGUAUUGCAGCAAAUGCACCUGCUUCAUGGUGUAGGGAUCACUCUGAAUAUGUGGUGUUCAUCAAGGGUUCCAAAAAAUUCAGUAGAAACUGUACAUCUCUUUUUUGCACCACAGCAGGCUAGAAAAACAAGAUAUGCUAUAUAAGUCCUGUCCUUAACCAUUGAACCUCUGGUAAACAGUUACACACUAUUGGAUUUGAUGAUAUAAAAUUGUUCUGGUACUUUUUUUAUUUAUUUUAUUUGCAUCAGAUUUUAACCCAACUGAGGUGAUACAAUCUGACCUGGACCAUUAUCUUUAAAAGAAUGCACUAAAUGUUGGCAAAUUGCCUGAAAAUGUCAUUGCCUGGAAGUUUCUAAUAUAGCAAGUAAAAUAAAUACUAUGUUUGUUUACCAUAAAAGUAAAAAAUGAAGAGAACAUGUUUUUAUGGAAGAGACUCUAAAAUAUUUAUGCCUUUGACUUAAUGGAUUCAAUUUUGAGUUAGAAAGAUCAAUGUUUUUCCUGUGUAGCAGAGAAGAAAAAUACUUCUGAGAGAAUUUUAGAUUUGUUCUCAUGUUUCAUUAACCAACAGAUGUUAUGCUAGUUAACUAUUUUAUCACAGAUAACAGGCAGUGAUUUAUAUUUGAUUAGGAAAAUUAUAUAUAUAUAUAUUAAGCCCUUAAAGUGGGUUAUUGAUCGCACAGCCUAGUGGUUCUCAAACUAUGGUUUGUAGCCUGCUGAUUUUGCACAGAGCUGCUUCUGUAACAAAUGAGAACAUCUUGAAGCAGUGAUACUUUAUGCUAACUAGUUUAAUCAAACUUAAGAAUUUUGAGAGGUUCUUUUGUGGACAUCUCAACUACCGUAUAUUCUCGUUCAUAAGCUGACUUUUUUUUAGUAAAAAAGGGAAGCAUCAGAGAAAGGGGGGUCAGCUUAUGAACGGGUAUAGAGAGGGAGAGGUGGGACACAGCCCCUGCCCCCAACAGAGGGAGCAAGGAGAGGCAGCACAGCCAGCAGACCCAGAAGGGAAGAGGCGGGGCCAGAGUCUCUCCCCCCAGCCAGCUGCUUGGGGCUGGCAAACUGCAGCUGUACUGCUAGGCCCUGCCCACCUGGCCUAGCCUGCUGGAAGAUGUGGCCAUGCCGCCUGGUCUGGCCUGCCAGAGCAGGCUGCGGCCGCAUUGCCCAGUCUGCUGGAGCAGCUCCAGUCAGGCCAGAGACAUCCUCCCCAGAUAAAGUGGGAAUUAGAGGGUCAGCUUAUGAAUUAUAGGGUCUCUUAUGAAUGGGUCAUAAAAAUGUUGCAUUUUUACUUAUCCAUUUUGGGGGGGGUCGGCUUAUAAACGAACUGGCUUAUGAUCAAGUAUAUACGGAACUUAAAACAACACAAAAUAUCCAAGUCCCACAGAAACCAAAACUCUCUGUAUCAUGUUUGGCUGUUCCAUGGGCUUCUGCCAGGUGUUGUUUUUUUUAGUGUAAAUUUAGAAAGUAUGGUCUUUUAGAAAUGUAAUUAAAAAUCAGAGGGCAGUGUUAACUCUAGGAAAGAGAGAUUUGGCAGCAGGUGUUCUGUGUGGUAGCUUCCUUUGAAAACCAGCAGAAACAGUCACACAACUAGCAAGAGUUGAUCUUUUAUCAUAGGAACAGUGACUUCUGUGCCUCAGAGGGCAAAGUGUAGCACACCUACAGUUGAGGUGGUCAGUGGCUCCGAGGGAAGCUAUGCUGCCAGGUAGGAAAGAGUCCUACAGAAAAGAGGCAGACAGCAUUUGGAGUGCAGCUUCCAUCUCCAGCAGAUUCUUGGAAUUAGCAGGGUUUGGUACCCAUGUUCCCUGUGUUACUCAAUAUCCCCUUACUUUUUGAAGAGAGCAUUUGUUGGGAGGGCUGCAAGUUGACCUUGACAUGUAAGUUACUCAUUCUGCACAUUUGCUGAAUCCAAAUCAAUGAAUCAUGCUGCUUUACUAGUGAACUUCUAUUUUCCAUCCCCUUUCCACAGAAUACAUAACUUACUGUUGCUGAAUUGAGCCCAGAGGUUAUGUAUGACCUGUCAACUUGUGUAAUAUAUCAAAACUUACAUAUAGCAAACUUUGUUCUGAGGGUUAAUUGGACUGUGAUUAAUAUGAUUUAUUGUAUCUUACAUUAUUAUGGUUUCUGUUCUGUCCUUUGUUAUACAUAUUUAUUUUUGAAGCUGCUUAAAAAAAAUAACUCUUCUAUUUAAAAGAAUAAGAAACAACAUGUUAAGGGGGAUGCUAAACACAACAUUGUUUAGUGGUGGAAAUAAAUCUCUGGAAUUAGCAGGAAAUGUACAGGUAGAAAAAUGAGAAGCUAUUCAUGGAAUGUUUUAACAUGCUUAGACUCCAUGCCUUGAAAGUCAAAAUGCAUCAGAAGGUAGAUACUUGGAGAGGUUUACUCUCCUUGCAGAUGGAUAGGUUAACCUUUUAACUGCUGCUGAAUGUACCAGGAACAUUAACAUGCAUCUCCAUGAAAAUCUUAAUGGAGGACCUGCCAUGAAAUGACAUGAAGGAAUUCAUGCUUUUUCUUAGCUUGGGCGUAGAUUGUGUAAAGAAACCUGACUAGAUGAAUCGGGGAAAACACAUUAAGAGGCAUAGGGUAAGGUAAGAUGGAGCAGGGAAAAGAAUGAAAGAGGGGAAAAAACAAAAGAAGGGGUCUUCCUGUCAUAAAAUGUGGAAGUGAAAGGACUUUAUUUAGAUACCACAUUUUGUUAACUGAGUGCUUCUAAAAGGUGCCAAGUCAAGAAGCUGCCUAUUCAUCCACAGAAGGAAUAAAGACAGGUUUCAGAGUAGCAGCCGUGUUAGUCUGUAUUCACAUCGGAAAUGCAUCCGAUGAAGUGAGCUGUAGCUCACGAAAGCUUAUGCUCUAAUAAAUGUUAGUCUCUAAGGUGCCACAAGUACUCCUUUUCUUUUUAGAAGGAAUAAAGUAACAGUACAACUGCA
Molecule: long non-coding RNA, 3491 nt
Organism: Dermochelys coriacea (leatherback sea turtle)
Lineage: Eukaryota; Metazoa; Chordata; Testudines; Dermochelyidae
Exons: 2
Source: RefSeq, a predicted model, not a curated record